CAAUACUCUAGCAAGUUUUUUUUGUUAUCUGACAUGUCAUAAAGUAAGCUUUGAAACUGUCACCGCAUCUGCAAGUCCUAUAGUGUCAGGCUAUGCGCAAAAACAUUUAUAAAUAGAUAGGUUGCUAUGCACAGUAUUACCAAUAACUGUAUGAAAGUUAUACAAGAUCUGUAACAUUCAUGUUAAUAUUCAGAUUGUUAUAAAAUCCCCACUGACUAAACUUAUAUCUUUUAAUAUUUUACAUUUGAUAGGAAUCAUCCUCUUAAUUGUCAAAACUCCAUAUAAAUAUAAUAACAUAUAAAUGUUUGUUGAAAUUCUGGCUUGUGACAAGUAUUUGAAUUUAAAUGACUGCAUAUGUCCAUAAUCUCAAGAUUUAGUACUGGUAUACCUGCCAAACAAUGCAACAAAGUGUCAGCAUCAGUUGGAAUGAAUUGUUGCCUCGGUCUAGACUGACCAAGAUGUCCUUGAC
This 469-nucleotide long non-coding RNA is filed under the name Mytilus galloprovincialis (Mediterranean mussel). The record is from RNAcentral. Lineage: Eukaryota; Metazoa; Mollusca; Bivalvia; Mytilida; Mytilidae.